ACGGCAGCACAGAGGAGCUUGCUCCUUGGGUGGCGAGUGGCGGACGGGUGAGGAAUACAUCGGAAUCUACUCUGUCGUGGGGGAUAACGUAGGGAAACUUACGCUAAUACCGCAUACGACCUACGGGUGAAAGCAGGGGAUCUUCGGACCUUGCGCGAUUGAAUGAGCCGAUGUCGGAUUAGCUAGUUGGCGGGGUAAAGGCCCACCAAGGCGACGAUCCGUAGCUGGUCUGAGAGGAUGAUCAGCCACACUGGAACUGAGACACGGUCCAGACUCCUACGGGAGGCAGCAGUGGGGAAUAUUGGACAAUGGGCGCAAGCCUGAUCCAGCCAUACCGCGUGGGUGAAGAAGGCCUUCGGGUUGUAAAGCCCUUUUGUUGGGAAAGAAAUCCAGCUGGUUAAUACCCGGUUGGGAUGACGGUACCCAAAGAAUAAGCACCGGCUAACUUCGUGCCAGCAGCCGCGGUAAUACGAAGGGUGCAAGCGUUACUCGGAAUUACUGGGCGUAAAGCGUGCGUAGGUGGUCGUUUAAGUCCGUUGUGAAAGCCCUGGGCUCAACCUGGGAACUGCAGUGGAUACUGGGCGACUAGAGUGUGGUAGAGGGUAGCGGAAUUCCUGGUGUAGCAGUGAAAUGCGUAGAGAUCAGGAGGAACAUCCAUGGCGAAGGCAGCUACCUG
RNAcentral lists this ribosomal RNA (676 nucleotides) under uncultured Pseudomonadota bacterium. RNAcentral describes it as "bacterial SSU rRNA". It matches the Rfam family "Bacterial small subunit ribosomal RNA", at positions 66 to 731 of the family's 1533-position model. The record is from RNAcentral. Lineage: Bacteria; Pseudomonadati; Pseudomonadota.